RNAcentral lists this transfer RNA (72 nucleotides) under Nephila pilipes (giant wood spider). It matches the Rfam family "tRNA". Rfam says of the family: Transfer RNA (tRNA) molecules are approximately 80 nucleotides in length. Their secondary structure includes four short double-helical elements and three loops (D, anti-codon, and T loops). Lineage: Eukaryota; Metazoa; Arthropoda; Arachnida; Araneae; Nephilidae. The record is from Rfam by way of RNAcentral.
GGUUCCAUGGUGUAAUGCUUAGCACGCUGGACUUUGAAUCUAGUGAUCCGAAUUCAAAACUCGAAGGAACCU